AUGUUCCAAGCUCCCGAAAACUGCCUAGGACUGCCUGAUAUCAAGGAGGCGGUGGCACCCCCACCGCCUGGCAGGCCUGGCUCCGGGACGGGCUUCUCCGCGAGAGGCCGAGCUCGCCCCAGGGCGGGAAAGGAAGCCAGAAAGCUCGAGGCGCCAAGGACGGGAGCUUGGCGGGGGCGAUAGAGUCCGAGGCCGCGCAGCCGGCACCCGCCCGGAGCGCAAACGAAAGCGAC
Molecule: long non-coding RNA, 233 nt
Filed under: Lynx canadensis (Canada lynx)
Lineage: Eukaryota; Metazoa; Chordata; Mammalia; Carnivora; Felidae
Description: lncRNA (ENSLCNG00005005594.1)
Source: RNAcentral